Molecule: non-coding RNA, 418 nt
Organism: Ochotona princeps (American pika)
Lineage: Eukaryota; Metazoa; Chordata; Mammalia; Lagomorpha; Ochotonidae
Source: the annotation of a RefSeq genome assembly
CAACCGGUGCAGGAGUCAGUGCCAGUCAGGACACAGCAUGGACAUGAGGGCUCCUGCUCAGCUCCUGGGGCUCCUGCUGCUCUGGCUCCCAGGUGCCACACGUGCCUUGGUGGUGACCCAGACUCCAACCACGGUGUCUGCAGCUGUGGGAGGCACAGUCACCAUCAAUUGCAAGACGAGUCAGAGUGUUAGCAGCAGCAAUGCUUUAUCCUGGUAUCAGCAGAAACCAGGGCAACCUCCAAAGCUCCUGAUCUAUCAGGCAUCCAAAUUAGCAUCUGGGGUCAAUGACAUGUUCAAGGGCAGUGGAUCUGGGACAUCAUUCACUCUCACCAUCAGCCCGGUGCAGGCUGAGGAUGCAGGAAUCUACUACUGUCAAGGGUAUUAUAGUGGUGAUAUUUACAUAAUGAUACAAGCCUGA